CGGAUGUAGUCAUCAGCACCGUCAACCGCUAUUCGAUAAGUUAGCAUUCGCAUUGCAACGGUCAUCUUUUGCAACAGAUGCAACCCAAUAAGUCCACAAGCACUUCUUGUUUGUGUAAAAUAACCAUCAUGAUCAUGUUGAAGUAUAGUUUUAGCUAUGCGAUUAAACAAAUUACAAGACAUCCUAAACCUGUGCGUACAAAUGAAAAUGAGAUGGGAAGGUGGAAAAUAUGCAAACAUAUAGUAAUGUACUAAUUAUGAACCUUCGCCGAAAUAAAUUUACGGGAUAGCGAGGAUUUUCACUUAAGUAGUCAUUCCAGAGUAGAAAAAAUCCCGCAUCUCCUCCUCGAUUGAUCAUCUGAUGUCCAUGCUUGGAA
Molecule: long non-coding RNA, 376 nt
Filed under: Hordeum vulgare
Lineage: Eukaryota; Viridiplantae; Streptophyta; Magnoliopsida; Poales; Poaceae
Description: long non-coding RNA (HVUL_LNC008944)
Source: RNAcentral